GAUGAAGAACGCAGCGAAAUGCGAUACGUAGUGUGAAUUGCAGAAUUCCGUGAACCAUCAAAUCUUUGAACGCAUAUUGCGCUCGAGGCUUCGGCCGAGAGCAUGUCUGCCUCAGCGUCGGUAUUACCCCUCGCUUCUCAACCCCUGGUUGAUGCCUGCCUGCCUUUGCAGUUGGCUAGAAGCGGAUCUGGCUUUCCCAAUUGCCUUUGGUAGUUGGGUCAGCUGAAGCACAGAGGCUUGAGCAAGGACCCUUAUUGGGCUUCAACUGGAUAGGUAGAACUGGUCUUAGGACCAACUACACGAAGUUGUUGCUUGUGGUCUUUGUCUGGAGGCCAGCAGGACACCUUUAUACCUUCGACCUGAGCUCAGGCAAGAUUACCCGCUGAACUUAAGCAUAUCAAUAAGCGGAGGA
RNAcentral lists this unclassified non-coding RNA (412 nucleotides) under soil metagenome. Its description in RNAcentral is "partial contains 5.8S ribosomal RNA, internal transcribed spacer 2, and large subunit ribosomal RNA". The stretch from base 1 to 120 matches the Rfam family "5.8S ribosomal RNA", at positions 35 to 154 of the family's 154-position model. The record is from RNAcentral.